This 492-nucleotide ribosomal RNA is filed under the name uncultured bacterium. RNAcentral describes it as "partial 16S ribosomal RNA". It matches the Rfam family "Bacterial small subunit ribosomal RNA", at positions 29 to 507 of the family's 1533-position model. The record is from RNAcentral.
AGUGAACGCUGGCGGUAGGCCUAACACAUGCAAGUCGAACGGCAGCACAGUAAGAGCUUGCUCUUACGGGUGGCGAGUGGCGGACGGGUGGGGAAUACAUCGGAAUCUACUUUUUCGUGGGGGAUAACGUAGGGAAACUUACGCUAAUACCGCAUACGACCUACGGGUGAAAGCAGGGGAUCUUCGGACCUUGCGCGAUUGAAUGAGCCGAUGUCGGAUUAGCUAGUUGGCGGGGUAAAGGCCCACCAAGGCGACGAUCCGUAGCUGGUCUGAGAGGAUGAUCAGCCACACUGGGACUGAGACACGGUCCAGACUCCUACGGGAGGCAGCAGUGGGGAAUAUUGGACGAUGGGCGCAAGCCUGAUCCAGCCAUACCGCGUGGGUGAAGAAGGCCUUCGGGUUGUAAAGCCCUUUUGUUGGGAAAGAAAAGCAGCAGGUUAAUACCCCGCUGUUCUGACGGUACCCAAAGAAUAAGCACCGGCUAACUUCGUG